This 440-nucleotide ribosomal RNA is filed under the name uncultured bacterium. Its description in RNAcentral is "partial 16S ribosomal RNA". It matches the Rfam family "Bacterial small subunit ribosomal RNA", at positions 338 to 795 of the family's 1533-position model. The record is from RNAcentral.
CCUACGGGCGGCAGCAGUGGGGAAUAUUGCACAAUGGGGGAAACCCUGAUGCAGCGACGCCGCGUGAAGGAAGAAGUAUUUCGGUAUGUAAACUUCUAUCAGCAGGGAAGAAAAUGACGGUACCUGACUAAGAAGCCCCGGCUAACUACGUGCCAGCAGCCGCGGUAAUACGUAGGGGGCAAGCGUUAUCCGGAUUUACUGGGUGUAAAGGGAGCGUAGGCGGUAUUGCAAGUCGGAUGUGAAAGCUUGGGGCUCAACACCAGGACUGCAUUGGAAACUGGAAAGCUGGAUGACAGGAGAGGUAAGAGGAAUUACGAGUGGAGAGGGGAAAUGAGUAGAUAUUAGGAGGAACAGCAGUGGCGAAGGCGGAUGACUGGACUGUAAAGGACGUUGAGGCUAGAAAGCGUGGGGAGCAAACAGGAUGAGAUACACUAGUAGGC